Molecule: long non-coding RNA, 680 nt
Organism: Stomoxys calcitrans (stable fly)
Lineage: Eukaryota; Metazoa; Arthropoda; Insecta; Diptera; Muscidae
Exons: 2
Source: RefSeq, a predicted model, not a curated record
AAAAUUCAAAAUUUUAACUGCUACUUUUCAUAUCUUGUUUAAAGUGCUUUAAGUGAAAAAAAAGCUUUUGUCACCGAAAAACCCUCUCUGGCUGCUCUUUCAGACUUAUCGCACUUAUCUGUGAAUUAAAUAAAAAUUUUUAAAAAAAAAAAAUUCUGCAUUCUGUUUGUUUAUCAAUCUACUGCUGCUUCAUAAGACUGCGGGCGGUAGCGACAAUGACGCCGUCUCCCCAUUACCUCUUCUUAUCAUUGGCCCACAAAGUUGUUAUAAUUAAAGUUGGUCGUCCCAUCGCCAUACGAUGGCACAUACAUUCAUGCUAAAGGUAUCGCAUUAAGGCUAAAACUAAUAGGAGUUCAGUAUCAAACGCGUAACACCAAUCGACGUUGGUCCGGAGGUCGUCGUCUCAUAUCUCUCCAAUGUCAACGACCAAUUGAGACGAGAGUGUCAACGAUAACAAAGCAACACUAUAAACACGAUUAUUAUCUACUCGCACAAACCAACAAAAAUUAACCCUGAAUUCUACUGCAAAGUGAAACAACACUGAGGAGAUAAGUUUGACGUUCAGUCAGCGGCGUCAACCCUCGAAAAGUGGCUAGUAAACAUUUCAAAAACAAGUUAAGAAGCAGAUAUUGAAAUCAUAUCAAACAAACAAGCAGGACCAAAGCCAAAGCAAAAGAAAA